Molecule: long non-coding RNA, 1990 nt
Filed under: Homo sapiens (human)
Lineage: Eukaryota; Metazoa; Chordata; Mammalia; Primates; Hominidae
Description: HSALNT0089864
Source: RNAcentral
CUCCAAGACCUAAAAACCUCCCAUCAGGCCCCACCUCCAACACCGGGGAUCAAAUUUCAACGUAAGAUUUGGAAAGGUCAAAAAUCCAAACUAUAGCAGCUAGUAAAGCAUUAUUUCUGGGUGCGUCUGUGAGGGUGUUUCUGGAGGAGAUGGGCAUGCAAAUUGGUAAACUGAGUGGAGAAGUUCUGCCCUCAGGGGUGGGUGGGCACCAUCCAAUCGGUUGUGAACCUGGAGAGAACAAAAAGGCAGAGGAAAUUCUAAUUUGCAGUCUCUCGGAGCUGGGACAUCCUUCCUCUCCUGUCCUUGGACAACAGAUCCCCAGGUUCUCUGGCCUUUGGACUUUGGGACUUGCACUAGCAGCACCCUGAGUUAUUAGGCCUUUAGCCUUGGAAUGAGAGUUAUAUUAUCAGCUUCCCUGGUUCUGAGGCCUUCAAACUUAUACUGAGCCAUGCUACUGGCAUCCCAGCAUUUCCAGCUUGCAGAAGGCCUGCCAUGGGACUCCUCAGCCUCCAUAAUUGUGUCCUGUCAGCCGCUGGAUCCCACAAAACUCUGCAGAGAUUUUGCCACCUGGACUAAGUGUUAUAACGGGGAGUCCUUGAAAACUCAGAGCAGACAUCAAGCUCUAGACAAUCUCCAGCCUUCUCUCUCUCUGUGCCUUGAGAUGCUGCAGACGGGCAGACUUAAAAGGUAUCUUCAUCCAAAGCCUCUCAUUUUACAAGUAAGAAAACAGUUGUCAGAAGUCAGAACUUGAAAUCAGGUCUUUUAGAUCCUCACUUCUCAAAGUAUGACCCAUGAACCAGUGAAACCAGUCCCUCCCUCCCUUGCCCUGGGGAGCUUACUGGAAAUGUAGACUCUUAGACGCCACUCCAAACCCACUGACUCAAAGUCUGCAUUUGAAUAAGACCCCCAAGUAAUCUGUGUAUACCUUAGAAUCUGAGGGUGCUUUCCAAUAACACAGACAACAUUUCUAAUACAUUUUUAACUUAAAGUUUGUAUUUUUUUAAAUACAUGUUUGAGGGGAGGAGAUGAAGGCUACAGAGUAUUUUAACUCCAAAGAUGUGAAACAGGCAAGACCUGCUAGAUGAGCUGGAGCUCUCAAAAGGGCAAGCAGGAGCUGUGGAAUUAGAAGCUGCUCACCUCCCCUGGGACCUGCCUUCCACAGAACUAGAAGCUGACUUUCCAUUCAAUUCCAGGAAAGCGAUGUUAAAAGAGGCCAGGCUGUGACUCUUGUGUCCUUUCAUGAAUUUAAUGAAGACUUUAAUUCAGCUGGGAUUUCAGGAGGUUGAACCUGACCUGAGAAAUAAACUCAACUUACUCUUCCUACCAUAGUUCUGGUGAAGGCCAUUCCUGGCCAGUCCAGGCUCUUAGUCUUUCAGAAGAUGACACAAAGGCCUCAAGUAUGACUUCCUCAUUAAGGUAUUUUCUGACAUGGAGGCUGGUUCCAUUUUAUUUAAUCAUACCCUCAUUUCCCCUGAUAAAUAUCACAUUUACAUUUCUGUCUCUUUGCUAAGCUGCUUUAGAUUCUUUCUGACAAUCCCUAAGGGGACAUGUCUUUUCCCCCAACACCAUUUUAAACCAUAUUUAAACAAAACAGAACAACUUUAGGAAAUGAUAUAUAGUGUUUUUCUCAUACCAACUUUUAGUCCAUCAGUUUUUAAAAAUUAUCUUAAGCACUUCAGUAAUGCAUGGCUAAUGCAUUACUCUAGAAUUCCUUGCACCAUUUAUUUAUAAACUGAUUUUCAAUGAAAAACAUUCUGUAUUAGUAUUCCGAAUUCACUGAUGAUAAGGUUUGGGUCUGUGUCCCUGCCCAAAUCUCAUGUCAAAUUGUAAUUCCCAAUGUUGGAGGUGGGACCUGGGAGGUGAUUAGACCAUGGGGGUAGAUUUCCCUUUUGCUUUUCAAGAUCUGGUUGUUUAAAAGUGUGUAGCACCUCCCUCUUCUCUCUCUUCCUUCUGUUCCAGACAUGUAAGACAUGCCUGCUUCCCCUUUGCC